AAGCAGGUUUGUGUGGUGGAUAGUAUUACACGUAGGCAGUGUUCGAGUAGACGGAGUCGUCGUGGUUGGGCAUGUGGUAGCGGUUGGUGAACCAGGUGGUGUCCGCGGUGACCUUGUUGCCGUCGUGGUUGCGGUACCAGGCGUAGUGUGCGUGCGUGUGGUUCUUGAUGUCCAGCACGGCGUGGCCGUAGCUGUACUCCCGGAACGCCGAGUAGGCCGGCUGCGGCCAGGUGAGCUCGUCGGCGAGGCCCUCGAUGUUGCCGCCGUCGCCGAUGACGAUGUAUACUGGGGCGCGGCGGUCGGCGACGGGCGUGCACUUGCCGUCGGUGAUGUUGUACUUGAUGUUGGAGUACCGGUGGCUGCGCUCGUAGGCGUGGACGUGGCCGGCGAAGACGAUGUCGACGCGGGCGUCGACGGCCAUCUGCUCGAACUGCACGCGCGUCGGCUCGCCCUCCAUGAAGUGGAAGUUGUUGCUGUUGUACCAGGGCACGUGCGCGCUGAUGAAGAGCCACGGCGUGGUCUCCCGGUCCACGCGCUUCAGCUCCUGCUCCAGCCACUUCCACUGCGGCGUGUACUUGCCGAAGGCCGAGUAGGAGGAGAGCACGAUGAUGUGCGCGGGCCCCAUCUUCACCGAGUACCAGUACGGCUCCGACGAGUCGCUGGCGCGGUACGGCGUCGGGUAGCGGUGGGAGAAGGGCUUGAACGCGACCGUCUCCCCGAUCUCCGGCGCGUAGUCGAUCUCGUGGUUGCCGGCGGUCCAGAUCCAGGGCUGGUACGCGACGCUGCGCUCGGAGAAGCGGCCCCAGGUGUCCCAGCGGUUGUUGUCGUGGAGCGGGUGCUUGUCGGCGUAGGAGAGGUCGCCGACGAAGAGCACGGCGUCGCCGGGGUGCUGCUCGUAGUGGGUGAGCGUGCUGUUGGAGUCGGGCGUCUGGCCGAGGUCGCCGAUGAGACCCAGCCGGAGCGGCGCGCCAGGGCCGGGCGGGGGCGGCGUGGUGAACCAGAAGGUGCGCACCGUGUCGCCGAACCCCAUGGCGUAGUAGUACCGGGUGCCGUGGUCCAGGCCGGUGAGCGUGCAGUGGUGGAUGAAGCCGGAGGUGUAGUUGUAGAAGGUGUAGCGGGUGGUGGUGCCCUCGGCGGCGAGGUCGAGCCUGUCCGCGGCGCGGCCGUACAGGACGGUGCUGUUGCCCUCGGCCUCCACGGUGACCCAGGACACGAGCAUGGCCGUGCCGGUCUGGUCCCCGAGCGUGAUGUGCACCUGUUGCGGCGCGUUGCGGCCCGGCGGCACCGCGAACACGUCCGCGUCCAUCGGCAUGUCGUCGGAGGCCUGGUGCUUCCGCCGGUACGUGCUCGUCACACAGCGACGAGGGUGCGCCGCCUCGCCGACGGAGAAGAGCGCGGCGGCGAGUACUACUACUACUACUACUACCAGCGCCGCCGCAGCGGCGGGCUUCCUUUCCAUGGCGGCCACGCACUAACUGCUACUACUACUACUCGCUGGCUGGCUGCAUGCUAGCUACUGCACUAGUGCUGGCUUUAAGUAGCUAGAGCGGAGGAAGGCAUCAGCAUUCACCAACACAAGCAGCUAGUACAGGCAGGAGAGGGGCAGUAGGAGGCGUGUGGUUGCCUGCGUACCAGACGACGUGGAUCAUCCGCUACCAUGCGCAUCAAGUCGUUUGGAGCCCUGUUCAUGGUGAUUGGCUUCUUGCUAGCUUCCCGUUCAGGUUGAAAUGCAAUUAUCGGUGAUGAUGGUGCAGGUCCUCCGCUGGAGUCAUUUCAUUGGAAGAGAAAAUUAUGCUGCCUCCGAUCCAUCGAUGCAUUCAUUUUUUGAGCUAGCUGGCGCGCCAUCCGUAGCCCCGGCCGAUACGAUAGGUAUAGCUAAUCUCUUCUUGUUCGUACACAAUAUUGUCACGUGGAUAAAAAGUCGGAGUCAGUGCUGCGUCGUCGCUGCCAGGGUGACAGAGAUCUCUCGGCUAGGCUACAUACGUUCUUGGCUCAGCUCUCGUCCUCAUAUCGACCUUUGGCAUCUCUGCGUUUGCACACCCUCGUCCUCAUCGACCUUUGGCAUCUCUGCGUUUGCACACUGUGGACCAGCUGCAGACGACGACAGAUAUGAUGCAAAUCGAGCAGCCUGUGGGUAGUACAUACGUUGGAGGCGGCGGCACAGGAGGUGUCGGCUGUUCCCUACGUCGAGGAGGACCCCGCCAUCCUCGGCUGGGAGGGAGCAAACAGGGGACGAAGGAUUCGGACGACGGCGGCGAUCCACCGGAGAUGAUGGCGUCAAUUCAUCAGUUGCUACGCCGGUGCGGCAUGUUCUGCAGUUUGCGAGUCCUGCGCGCACUGCACUACGCCUGAGCAAAUCUUGUUUGGGCCACGAAUUAUUCGGCCCAGCAUCUAUUAUGCGGCCGAGUUGCCUUCUUCCCUCCCCCUCAGCUUGUCUAUGGGCUGCGGCUUAGGCAGUGUGCGUUACUGUAGCGCGUGCCGGAGCUUAAGUCGGGUAAGUCAAUUUUUUCAGCUCCAUGGGCUUCCCUCGUUUUAGUUUAUUUUUGAACUCAUUUUGUAUUCCGGCUUCACACUGCAGUAGAAAAUAGUGCCGCAUAAUGCCCGACUACUGUAGCGAGAAGCCAAAACUGAAACCGGCUAAACCGUGCGGCCUUCGAAGCCCAUCCCCCACAGGCCCAAUGGGAACCACAUGGCUUGUCGUUUGCGAUAGCAACAUCACCAGCAGCGCCAUAAGACAAGACGUUUUUGGAUGGAUGGAUACCACCCACACCACCAUUCGAGCAGUGGAACCUCACCACCACAAUUGAGCAAGCCUCAUACGGUUUGGAUAUUGAGCAAGCCUCUCGCUACGCCGACGAGUACUCUCCACCAGCGUCGCUGGCUUGCCGUUCUUCGAUCAACAGCAUGAUCUAGCAAAUAGUGCAUGAGUUAUGAGCGUCAUCGAUCUCAUUGUUGCGAGUCUCGCUGAGAGGAUGAGCAUCGUCGAGCCUCGGCACGAGUUCUUUACUCGUUAACGAAAAGUGACGCCGGGAGGCUAUUCCUUGCCCCGUUUACACGGGAGCAAUGCAAGCCUAGUCCAUAUGCUAUUAUACCAGCGAGGCUAGACGGGUUUCAUCGAGAUUUGAGGCAAUAGACGGUUCCAAAAAUUGCCAUCUCAAAAAUAAAAUGAGAUCUUUGGUUAGAUUAGUCCUUUAUCACAUUAAAUAUUUAGAUACUAAUUAGGAGUAUUAAAUAUGGACUAAUUAUAAACGCAAUUGCACACAUAAAGGCUAAUUCGCGAGACAAAUCUAUUAAGCCUAAUUAAUUCAUGAUUAGCACAUACUUAUUGUAGCAUCACAUUGUCAAAUUAUGGACUAAUUAGACUUAAUAGAUUCGUCUCGCGAAUUAGUCUCCAUCUGUGCAAUUGGUUUUAUAAUUAGCCUAAUUAAUAUCUAAACACUCUCGAUAUAACAGAGACUAAACUUUAAUCCGUGUAAUCAAACAAUAACCGGAGAACAACUACAAAUAAGAUUCUGAAUAUGAAGUCAGGAGAUGGUGCUUUUCCCGACGUCGUGGCACGAUAAUCCAGAUUGGAUUGGGCGUGUCUCGAUUGGAUGACCAUCUCCUAGUCCUCCUAACAGCACAGUAGUAGCACACUUGCUAUUGCCACUCUGCCAGCACAAAUCCCUCUAGUUCAAGACCGCAUAGCCGUCGGUGUCACCACUUUACGAGAGUCCACUUGAUCGAUAUAUAGCUCAAGAGUGCUGCACUCAAUUAGCUCCGCCAUGCAGCCACUAAGGUUUCCAAAAUAAUUAUGGUUUCUUAUUUACUUUUGAAAUGUUUAAUCAUCGGAUAAUAUAAGAGCUUGAAAUCUUCUUGUCUGCCCUUAAAGAAGAUGGCAAAUCUGAUAUGAUGCUAAUGAACUGAAUGCCGAUUUUUGAUUUCUUCAAGAUUUCAUUCGAAGUUUGGCCCUUGCACGUCUGCAUUGAAUUGGCUAGCUUUCGUCCAAACACUUUUAUUGCCGAGCAGCCUGACCAACCUUAGCAGUUACUUGCCGCCAGCCUACCACUCCCGCCCAAGGAAAGCCUUCAUCAUCACCAUACACACGCCUCCAAAGGAAUCCUAGAAGCAGAGCCACUCCACUCCACCGAUGGCGACCGCCGCGGCGGCGUUCGCGUCGCAGGUGCUGCGCGGGCGGUGGUUCAUGGCGUACGGCUCCUUCCUCAUCAUGUCCGCGGCCGGCGCCACCUACAUCUUCGCCAUCUACUCCAAGGACAUCAAGUCCACGCUGGGCUACACCCAGGAGCAGCUCAACACCGUCGGCUUCUUCAAGGACGUCGGCGCCAACAUCGGCAUCCACGCCGGCCUCGUCGCCGAGGUAACCCCGCCCUGGCUCGUCCUCGCCGUCGGCGCCGCCAUGAACCUCGGCGGCUACCUCAUGCUCUACCUCUCCGUCGCCGGCCGCGUCCGCCCCGCGCCGCCGCUCUGGCUCGUCUGCCUCUACAUCGCCGUCGGGGCGAAUUCGCAGGCGUUCGCCAACACCGGCGCGCUCGUCACCUGCGUCAAGAACUUCCCCGAGAGCCGCGGCGUCAUGCUUGGUCUCCUCAAGGGGUUUGUCGGGCUCAGCGGCGCCAUCUUCACCCAGCUCUACCUCGCCUUCUACGGCCCCGGCGGCGGCGGCGUCGACACCAAGCCGCUCAUCCUGCUCGUCGGCUGGCUCCCGGCCGCCGUCUCCGUCGCCUUCCUCGGCUCCAUCCGGAUCAUACGCGCGCCGCGGUCGCCCGUCGCGGCGCGCCGGGAGUACCGCGCGUUCUGCGGGUUCCUCUACGUGUCGCUCGCGCUCGCGGCGUUCCUCAUGGUCGCCAUCAUCCUGCAGAAGCGGUUCCGGUUCACCCGCGCCGAGUACGGCGUCUGCGCCGCCGUCGUGUUCGUCAUGCUGCUCCUCCCCCUCGGCAUCGUCCUGCGCGAGGAGGCCGCGCUAUUCAAGUACCACAACAUCACGAACGCGCCCCCGGCGCACGCUGACGCGCCGGUUCUGUCCCCGCCGGUGACCGCGGCCACGAAGCAGGGGACGCAAGAAUCCCCCGCGACGACGACGGCGGGUGCGAGAUUUCUGGCCGCGCUGAGGCCGCCGCCGCGCGGCGAGGACUACACGAUCCUGCAGGCGCUGGUGAGCGUGGACAUGCUGCUGCUGUUCACGGCGACGGUGUUCGGCGUCGGCGGGACGCUGACGGCCAUCGACAACAUGGGCCAGAUCGGCGAGUCGCUGGGGUACCCGCAGCGCAGCGUCGCCACCUUCGUCUCCCUCAUCAGCAUCUGGAACUACCUCGGCCGCGUGGCCGCCGGCUUCGCCUCGGAGGCGCUCCUGGCGCACCACCGCGUCCCGCGGCCGCUGCUGGUGGCAGGCGUGCUCCUCCUCGCCGUGCCGGGACACCUCCUCAUCGCGUUCGGCGUGCCGGGGUCGCUGUACGUGGCGUCGGUGAUGAUCGGAUUCUGCUUCGGGGCGGCGUACCCGAUGAUCCUGGCCAUCAUCUCCGAGCUCUUCGGCCUCAAGUACUACUCCACCCUCUACAACGUCGGGAACGUGGCCAGCCCCGUCGGCUCCUAUAUCCUCAACGUCCGCGUCGCCGGCCGCAUGUACGACCGGGAGGCAGCGCGGCAGGGCGCCGUGGCGGCGGUGGCCGGAAAGGGCGUCACGUGCGCCGGCACGCUCUGCUACAGGGAGUCGUUCCUCGUCGUCGCGGCGGUGACCGUAGGCGCGGCGGCGGUCACGCUGGCUCUGGCGUGGAGGACGCGGAAGUUCUACGCUGGGGACAUCUACGCCAGGUUCAAGGAGGGAACCGCGGGCAAGGGCGCCGCCGAGGAGCCGGUGGCGGAGUCCAAGGAGCAGGCGGAGGUGCAUGGGCGCCGGGGAGGCGUUCAGCGAGAAAGCGACUGAUGGAUGCAAAUGUCGGAUCAAAACAAGUUUUUUUUUUGUCCAGAGAGCAGGUAAGAUUGGAAAUUUUUGUUCGUUUUAUGGUGGGUUUUGGAUUGCGAAUUUUGUAUGACCAGGUGAUAGUUAAUCUCUACAACAAUAUCUUCUCUGCAACUAAAAAAAGGGAGAAGAGACAAAAUUUAAAAAGUUUUUUUUUGAAACGAACCUGGCAGGAGAGCUGCCGAUUAUAUUAAAAAGGAGGAAUCCAGACUGGAUAAGUACAAUGGAUCAAAAAUGAAAUGACAUGAGGCAAAAUUGAGCCAGAAGAAUAAAAUAAAAUAAAGCAACACUAUGAACUCAGUCGCAAUCAGCAUCGCACCAUUAGAGCGGAGAGAUGUUUCGCUCCCGCCAUAAUCCACACGGUGGCCUCGUCUUUGAUCCACUCAAAAAUCAUAUUGACAGAAGACUCCUUGCUGUUAAAUAUUCUCAUAUUCCUUUCCCACCAAAUUAUCCAUGUAACUAGCAUAAUCAAAGUUUGCAUGCCUCUCUUGGAGCAGGAAUUUGCUCCUGCUCUCAUCGACCACCAGUGGUGCAGCGUAUCGGCCUGUUGCCAAGCCCUCGGGUGGAUUGCUGGCGCUGAUAAUCAGUCCGCCACCAUGGCCCAGAUUCUUGUUGUAAUCCGGCAUUCGGCGAAAAGGUGUAGCGCCGAUUCUUGUGAUCUCCGACAUAGUGGGCAGGUAGCUGGAUUCGGCCAUCCCCUUUUCUGAAGUCUGUCAGCAGUCCAAAGGCGAUUUUGGAUUGCGAGCCGAAGGUUUUGCAGCUUCUAGGGGCCCAUAUUUUCCAUAUCAAGCCGUCAAAGUUGGUGGAAGCCGAACCAAUGAACUGUGCGGCGUAAGCGGAUUUUGCGGAGUAGUUACCAUCUGCAGUAAGCUUCCAAAUGAUUUCAUCUUGGACACCCGGGCGUAGGGCUACCUGUUGUACGACUUGCCACAGAAGGAUGUAUUCUCGGAAGUGUUGCACCGAGAAACUACUGUGAUGUAUGUUGAUGUCCCGGAUCCAAGUUCGGUUGUGAAGCGCAUCACGUAAACUCCUGUUCUUUCUUUUUGAAAUGGAGAAAAUACUUGGCGCUACGUCCUUUGGCCUUUGGCCUUGAACCCAGGCACUAUUCCAGAAGGAAGUCUUUGCUCCAUCGCCUACGACGAUGCGUGUACAUGCCGCAAAUAAUUUCCUAUCCGUGUUAUUACACGGAACCUCGGAGCCUACCCAAAGCUUAUCUUCUGCUUUCCACUCAUGCCACAGCCACCUGAGCCUUAGUCCUCUUGCAAAGUUGUAGAUGUUUAAAAUACCUACUCCCCCCAAUCUUGUCGGUCGGGCGGACCUUUGCUAAUUCACUUUGCAUUUCCCCCCUGUUAAUGUCGCCGCCCCUGCCCAAAAGAACUUCUUGCGCUUUGCAUCAAUUUCCUUCAUCACCUCUUUGGGGGCCUCCAUUGCCGACAGGAGGUAUACCGCUUGUGAUGUUAAUACUGAUUUCGUGAGUGCUAGGCGUCCCGCCAUAGUCAUGUUCCUAGCAUUCCACGCAGUGAGUUUGCAGGUCGCCUUGUCUAUGACGUAUUGGAAGUGUACUCUCUUGAGCCUUGACGUCGUUAGUGGAAGUCCAAGAUAUCGCACCGGAAAGGAAGACUGUGUGACUGGAAUGUCUCCAAAUAUGUCGUCCAUAUUAAGCCCUUCGCAUCUUAUAGGCACCACACUAGAUUUCUCGAAAUUUGUUCUCAACCCCGACACUUCACCAAAUCUAGUGAGUAGGUCAGCUAAGGCAAUGACAUCCUGCCUAGUCGGGUUUAGGAAAAUAGCCGUGUCGUCGGUGUACAUGGAUGUUCGGAAAUUGAGGGACCUGCCUCGCAGCUUGGAUAUGAAUCCUCUGUCAGUGGCCUGUUCCAGCAAAGCUCGUAGUGGUUCAAUUGCAAUCACAAAAAGUAAAGGAGAUAAAGGAUCUCCUUGCCGUAGGCCUCUGUUAUGCUUGAUGGGGCUGUUUGGGACCCCAUUGAGAAGGAUCCUAGAUGAAGAUGUGUAGAAUAGAGAGGCGAUCCAAUCCCGCCAACGAAUAGGGAAGCCCAAGCGUUGAAGUAAAUCUAGAAUAUAGUCCCAUCGCACCGAAUCAAACGCUUUGGCGAUGUCAAGCUUAAAGAAUAGUGCUGGAAUUCGUUGUCGAUGGUAGCGACGCGCCAUGUUCCUGAGUCAUAAAAUUAUCGUGGAUGCUCCUUUGCUUGAUGAAAGCCGAUUGAGAAUGUGAUACAAUGUUUUUCAUGUGCGGGGCCAGUCGCAUGGCGAGCACCUUUGUAAUAAUCAUGAUGAAUGAGUGUAUCAAACUUAUCGAUCGGAAGUCAGGGACUGCCUCGGCCCCUUCCUUUUUUGGUAACAACACUACGUUGGAUGUGUUGAUUAAUGGCAGGCUCGUGCAAUGCAAGUUAUGAAAAGCGUUGGCUGCGUUUAUGACGUCGCGCUUUAUAAUCUCCCAGCAGGCCUUAUAAAAUGCUCCAGUGAAGCCAUCUGGUCCGGGCGCCUUGUCCGAUGGUAUGUCGAGUAUUGCACGUUUAAUUUCCUCCUCCGUGAAAGGUUCGGCGAGGGAGCUGAGGUCCAGACUGGGGAGAUUUAUGUUGUCCCAGUUAACGUCCUGUGAUCGUUGUCCUGGUGGCCCCAUCAUCGUAGCGAAGUGGUGUUGAAUUAUGUUUGCUUUUCUUCGUGAUUGAAAGCCCAACUGGACCCUUGCUUUAGUCGCUGAAUGUAGUUUUUCUUCUUCCUUCCGUUAACCCUCCGAUGGAAGUAUUUGGUAUUAGCAUCACCUAAUUUGAUGUUCGUAAUGCGUGAUGCUUGUUUCCGUCUGACCCUUUCAACCACCGCCAGGCCGAGGAUUCUUCGCUUAAGUUUUUGUCGCAGGUUCAAUUCAUCCCUGAUGAGGGUUCUAUGUUCUUGUGCCAUAUCCAAUCUAAGGACGACAUCAGACGCCAUGAGAAGCUGCAUCUUGGCAUCCGGGUAAAAGUUGUGGCUCCAGGCUCUAAGCAUUUGGGAAGUAUCCCGUAACUUGUAGUACAGGCGGUGAAAAGGCUCGUGAUGAGCGCAGGGCUUACUCCAAGCUUCAGUUACUACCUCCUUGAAGCGUGGCAAUCUUGGCCAAAACUCUUCGAACCGGAAUGUCUUUGGCCGUCGUGGUCCACUUUGAUUGGAGAGGAGUAGUGGGCAGUGAUCCGAGUGCGAUGUUGAAAGUGCAUGUAGAGUAUGGGAGGCAAAUAAGGCGUCACCUUCCGUAUUACAGAACACUCGGUCGAGUCGGACAAGCGUCGGAUUUUGUUGCUCAUUGCUCCAUGUGAAGCGGCGGUUCUGCAGUGGAAUUUCCUUGAGCUCACAAUCGCUGAUCGCCUCUCUAAAUAGACUCAUCAGUCUAGUAUUUAGCCUAGAAUUGUUCUUAUCCGCGGCUCUAUAUAUGAGAUUAAAAUCACCCAUUAUAAUCCACGAUGUCCCACUGGGAGGCUUAAGUGUUAGCAUUUCUUGUAAGAAGGCUCUCUUUUGCUCCUGACUGGAUGGUCCGUAGAUAUUUGACAGUCUGAAUGUUUCGCCAUCAUGUAGUGAAAUAGAGGCUGAUAAAUGAAACAUCCCCACAGCAAUCUGUGAGACCUGCACUACCCUCUCAUCCCACAAUAUCAGCAGUCCUCCUCUUGUACCUGAAGCUCCUGUGGCCGGCGCGAAAGCGUUUUUGUUUAACCAGUACCCACCUAAGUAAGACGAAGUGAAGUCAUCUAUCUGUGCAAGCUUGGUUUCCUGGAAGCAUGCAAUGGCGCACGUUGUGUUGGCCACAAUCUGGUGAACUACAUCCCUACGGGCUUGCUGAUUAAGACCCCGUACAUUCCAACAUAAUAUAUCAACGUCGGGGCCGAUCAUUUGAAAUAGCACGUCGCGUCUCAGUGCUCUUCAGGCCGAGGCAUUCUAACCCCUGCUGACGGCCGAAGGACGUACAAAGGGUGUCACAGAGCAACGAAGAUGAUUUGCAAGAUGUCAGAUGCCACAUGUUUUGCAGCUUACAAUUACAACCAUAGUGAAUAAGUCUUGCAACAUAUUGAAAGCAUACAAGAAGUCUUGCAACACACAGCCGCCAUCUUGUCAUGGACACACAAAGGGUAGCACACAGGGACGUUAUCAACAUCCUCAUGGUCGCACACAAAAGUACUGGGAGAGGAGACAGAAACAUGUAAAAUGUAGAGUGCAGCAGGGUGGCCAUCCUGAUUAAGCCACAGGAACCGUGGAUGCCUCCUCCAGCUCACCGGCACCCUCACCGAGGAUUGCCGCCAUGGCAUUGUCGGCGUCCUCCAACUCUUCAUCUUCCAGAUUGAACAUUGCCGUCAUUGCCGCGAUGAUGUCCGCCGGCAGCGCUCCACUGUACAUAUCCAGAUAUUCCUGCAAAGCACGUUCCACCGGCAGAAGAUCGUCAGAGAGAAGGCCAAGUUUGCGGCAGAGAUUCUGCUGCGCUCUCUGGACGGCAUUCAUCGGGCGUGCAUUCGCCAGACGCGAGCUGCGCCGCACUGCAGACAUAUCAAAAGUGCGACGUUUGCGCCUACGGGGGGCCGGGCUUGGUGAACUUGCCUGCUGUGGUGGUGGCGAAGGCAAAGGCAGCACCGGGCGGGGCGGUGUCACGAACAGACUUGCAAUGCCGGGGGAGGCUUGAGUGGUCGGCGCUGUUGGAGUAGCUGCAACCUGUGCGGCAUCAGUUGGAGUAGCAGCAGCCUCCCAAAGCGCCUCUUGGGAUACAACAGUCCCUCCCAGGACAGGCGACGGUGGUGAGUGGCCGGAGACAGGAACGUCCUGGUCGGCCUGAAGCUCCAACUGGCGAAGAGCGAGCUCCACCUCAUCAUGGGAGACGCUUCUGUCAUUGUUGUGGGAGCCAUCAUUUUGAGUCCCCUGCACAUUAGAGGGUACAAUAGAAAUCGCUGCACGAAUCCUGUCAAAAGCAACAGAGACGGGAACAAGAGGAGGCGGAUGCCGGCUUGUGGUCAGCAAUGUGCAUCUAAAUCAAAGCACUAGCUCUCCGCCUGAAACCCACCAAAAUUUAACUGAAAUAGUGAAACCAUGCAUCGAGUUGAGUAUUGCAGAUUUCAUGUUUCUUUGCAGUGACAUUUGUUGGAGUUGGACAAGAACAUUUCGAUAUUCUAAAAAACUUUCCAUGGAUGUGGUCCAAUCUUACAGCUGUUCUUUCGGUUCUACCCUGUCUUCACCAAUUCCCGCCUUGAACUUUGCGUAGAUGUCUCCCGCGUAGAAAUCCCUGGUCCUCCACGCCAGCACCGCCGUCACCACCGCCGCGGCUACGGUCACCGCGGUGAUGACCAAGAACGACUCCUUGUAGCACCGGACGCCAAUGCACGUGACGCCCUUUCCGGCCACGGCGGCCACCGCGCCCUGCCGCGCCGCUUCCCUGUCGUACAUGCGGCCGGCGACGCGCACGUUGAGGAUGUAGGAGCCCACCGGGCUCGCCGUGCCGCAGAAGUUGUACAGCGUCGAGUAGUACUUGAGGCCGAAGAGCUCCGACACGCUGGCGAGGAUAAGCGGCUGCGCGGCGCCGAAGCAGAACCCGAUCAUCACCGACGCCACGUACAGCGACCCCGGCACGCCGAACGCAAUGAGGAGGUGCCCCGGCACGGUCAGGAGGAGCACGGCAGCGAGGAUCAGCGGCCGCGGGAUGCGGUGGCGGGCAAGGAGCGCCUCGGAGGCGAAGCCGGCGGCGACGCGCCCGAGGUAGUUCCAGAUGCUGAUGAGGGAGACGAAGGUGGCGAUGCUGCGCUGCGGGUAACCCAGCGACUCGCCGAUCUGGCCCAUGUUGUCGAUCGCCGUCAGCGUGCCGCCGACGCCGAACACCGUCGCCGUGAACAGGAACAGCAUGUCCACGCUCACCAGCGCCUGCAGGAUCGUGUAGUCCUCGCCGCGCGGCGGCGGCCUCAGCGCGGCGACCAAUCUCGCACCGACCCUCGCGGGCUUCGAGGUGACAGGCAAAGGCUCCGGCAACGGCGCCGGCUUGGCGGCCACGGUCGCCGGGGACGGCUCCGGCGCCUCUGCUCGCGCUUCAUGCGCGUUCCUGAACAGAGCAGACUCCUCGCGCAGGACGAUGGCGAAGGGGACGAGGAGCAUGGAGAGCACGACGGCGGCGCAGACGCCGUACUCGGCGCGGGUGAAGGGGAACCGCUUCUGCAGGAUGAUGGAGACCAUGAGGAACGCCGCGAGCGCGAGCGACACGUAGAGGAACCCGCAGAACGCGCGGUACUCCCGGCGCGCCGCGACGGGUGACCGCGGCGCGCGUAUGAUGCGGAUGGUGCCGAGGAAGGCGACGGAGACUGCGGCCGGGAGCCAGCCGACGAGCAGGAUGAGCGGCUUGGUGUCGACGCCGCCGCCGCCGCCGGGGCCGUAGAAGGCGAGGUAGAGCUGGGUGAAGAUGGCGCCGCUGAGCCCGACGAACCCCUUGAGGAGACCAAGCAUGACGCCGCGGCUCUCGGGGAAGUUCUUGACGCAGGUGACGAGCGCGCCGGUGUUGGCGAACGCCUGCGAGUUGGCUCCGACGGCUAUGUAGAGGCAGACGAGCCAGAGCGGCGGCGCGGGGCGCACGCGGCCGGUGACGGAGAGGUAGAGCAUGAGGUAGCCGCCGAGGUUCAUGGCGGCGCCGACAGCGAGGACGAGCCACGGUGGGGUGACCUCGGCGACGAGGCCGGCGUGGAUGCCGACGUUUGCGCCGACGUCCUUGAAGAAGCCGACGGUGUUGAGCUGCUCCUGCGUGUAGCCCAGCGUGGUCUUGAUGUCCUUGGAGUAGAUGGCGAAGAUGUAGGUGGCGCCGGCCGCGGACAUGAUGAGGAAGGAGCCGUACGCCAUGAACCACCGCCCGCGCAGCACCUGCACCGCGAACGCCGCCGCGGCGGUCGCCAUGGCCGACGACUGCUUGCUUGCGCUGCCUGUCGCGAGCAGAGUGUGCGCUCUUCUGGAUUACUAGUUGCUUACUUAAUGAGUAUAAAUAACAGUUACUGGAAAGGAGUAGUUAGUUCUAAAGUUUGUGGGGGGAGAAAUGCGUGCUGUAUUUGUUGUUUUACCGGAGCAUGCGCAGACCGGUGAGUUGGAAAGUUAAAAGAAGAGAUGAGAUUGAACUUUAGACCAAGAAGUUGGCAUUUGAUACUGUUCUGCUCUUGUUUAUUUCUUAUUAGCCGUAAUAGUAGAAUAAUAUUUGGACAUGCAGUGAUAUUGGUAACCUGUUGCAUUGGCCUAAUAAGCAAUUAAGCAACUAACCUGUGAGUUAACUUGAUAACACAUGGUAGGAAGUUUUAUAGGACUUGGUUUGUAUCUUACUGUUGAUGAUGCACAGCAUCCAACUGGAGUAGUAGACAACAAAAGGGCAGCAUGUAGUUUACUGAAGGAUCGUUUCGUGCGGCUUGAUUCCGGCACAAGGGUCACGGGCAACGACGACUCUGUGUCCUUUUGGAUGCAUGUGUCCUCAGCAAUAUGUACGAUUAUCAGCCACGAUUAGGAUUAUGAGCAUGCAUGGAAAAGACCCUCAAUUGUUGGCCUUGAGGAGGAUUGACUAGCCGGGCAAAUUUCAGUGCAAACAAAUGACAAUCACAAUCACUGUAACUGGAUUUAACUCGAAUUCACAAUCAUAAUCACAAAUCGCUCCUACUGUAGUGAUCAAAUCAAAUGGACGUACGCACGAGAUAAAUAUUUUAUUUGAUUGAUGAUGAUUAAAGUUUGAUUCAAGAGAACCAACAAGAAAUAAUUCAAGUAAAGUUUGAUCCUAAUCCAAGAGCUCAAGUAUUACAAUAAUUAGUUAUUAUUAAUUGUGGAUUGGAGCCGUAGCUUCGAUUCUUCGGCCGGUGACCGGUGUAGAUGAAGCUAGCUAGCUAUCUAUCCGGAGGCCUCGACGACGGCGACCUGCCCUCGGCGCGCGGCGGCAAUCGUUGAGGAUGUCGUCGACGUAGAACUGGCACCUGCUGAUGUCGCUGCCGCUGUGGUUGAUGCAGUCCUGGAAGGCCUGGACGUGGAUCUCGCACGGGCUGCUAGCCGGAGCCGCUGCAGCCGCCGCCGUGGUGGUCUCGUGUGCGCCACGGCCGUGCUGGCGCCCCACAGGCCACAGCCAUCCGUCGGCGAUGGCGGAGGCCACCUUGGAUCUGGCGCGGGGAGCAGAGUGCAAAUCAAUCGGACACGUAAUUAGUUGAUUGAUAGGUAAAUCUGAUAAUAAUCCUUCUUCACACUCGGCUCGAUCCAUGGUAUGCAGGCAAGGCAGAUGAUCUUCUUCUGGAGGAAUGCAAUAGAGUAGACGACCAUGUACGAUACUAUGCCUCGUUUGUUUCCACCUAUAAGCGGCUUAUGUCAUUGGAUACAAACUCCUAAAGUUUAGUAGUGUACUAAAAGUUUAGGAUCCUCAAAUUGCUAGUUCUAAAGUUUAGUACAGAGCUGUUUGGAUGGACUACUAAUCUUUAGGAUCUUAGAGGGAAAAUGUUAUUUUUACCCUCAAUUACUUCUCUAAACUACCCCUGCACUGUUCACGUCAUUAAUGUAUGCGAGGGCAAUAGGGGUAAAGGAGGACUUGGGGACCACUUUUAGAAGAAAUAGGAUCUAUCAGUAGCUCUUGGCCCUCCUAAUGAAAAUGAUCCUCCUAAAGUUUAGGAGUGUACUUUUAGGACCCAUGUUUGGAUACACAAUUCCUAAAUGUGUCCUAAAAGUGGACUCCUAAUCUUUAGGAGGGUGUAUCCAAACAGACCCUUAUUGGUGGAAAUAAGUGAGAAUUCUGCCAAUCACUUUGCUUGUUUCAUCGAUUCUCGUUUAUAUGGUAAGCUUUCAGAGAUUUGAACUACAAGAAAUGAGAAGCGAGAAAAUCUUCACUUAAAUUAUAAUAAAAAAUAACUAGGAAAAGCGUAUCAAACAGCGCUACUACGGGCUAUUUCCACGGCGGCGGUUGCUGCGACACGCAUCGUAACAAUAACUCUUCAGACUCCAGAGCGGGCCGCCCGUUCCUGGGCUCUUGGCCCAACUAGCCCAUUUUCAACCAGCAGCACAGCCUUCUUGCCUGCUUUCCUGCGGCCAGAACGUGGGUGGGCCAAGACCUCAGCAUCAGUCACUCAUGUCCGUGCCAGUCACACACUCUCUCUCUCUGUGUUACUACUUUUCAAAAAAUAAAAAAAAAGUCUCCCUCUGUUUUGUUGGCAGCCGGACAGACAGAGGCACGAAGCCGCACAGCGUGGGACACGGACACGUGACCCGGCACAGUUUUCUUUCUUUCUUUCCUUCCGGGUGGGGAGCCACAUCAGCAUAGACUGUCCAUGCCUCGUCUCGAGCGUUGCACCCGAGCUAUUACUCCUCCGUUCAAAUUUAAUUAUAUUUAGUUUAAAAAAUUAAAAAAACUUACAAUUUUGGAACCGAGGGAGUACAUCGGAGCACUGCUUAAUAUUCUAAUCUCACUGCCGAACCACCUGCAAUUUGGGUUAAUAUUCUAAUCUCACUACCGUCGAAUCUCUCGAAAAGGGAUCACCACUGCAGAUUUUCAUGUGGAGUUGAGCCACGAACUCUUUGACACGCUCAUGAUGCUCAUCUUAUCAGGUACUACAAGGUUAUUCUGAGAUAAAACUGCAGCUGUACUUCUUUUCUUUCUCGCAUGUUGCAUCCCAAUUCCAAAAUGGCUCACCCCUCUUUAUCAAAAAUAAAAAUAAAAAUGGCUCACCCCUGUCGUGUAGAUUCCUCCUCAGCCCUCUUGCUCCAACAAAGAUGUCAAAUUUACACUGCAGUUGAUCAGAAAAUAGCCACCAGGCAGAUAAAAACGCAAAAGAAGAAGAUCAUCUCUAUGCACGACAGUACAUGCUCAUUAGCCAUUAGGUUGCUGGUUCUGUGCAAGAACCACUGUCGUGUAGAUUCCCCCCCUCAGCCAUAUCUUGCUGCAACAAAGAUGUCAAAUUUGCACUGCAACCAGAGUAGGUUGAACCCAGCUGCAGUUGAUCAGAAAAUGGCAACCAGACAGAUAAAAACGCAAAAGAUCAUCUCUAUGUACAACAGAAAUCAACGCUCAUUAGCCAUUAGAGGUUGUUGGUUCUGUGCCAAGAACCACUCUGACUUGCGUUGACCGAGCACAAAAAAAAGAAGGUGAGAAUCUGCACCUUGUCCACCAACACUCCUACACGGUUUGGUUCAUCAUCAUGUAUCUACAAAACUUAUGCUUCCCACCACUCUCAUCCAUCAUGUUGCUCCGGCAUCAGCUACCAAAGUAGUGUAUUACUACUACUCAUCAGCUCAGAGCUCCAGGUGCUGCUCGUAGCACAGCUCGCUCAUGCAGGGAGACAGGAUCUCCUCCUCCAGCAUCUUCAGGACGGCGCUCAUCGAUGGCCGCUGCCCGGGGUCGGCGUCCGUGCACAUCGCAGCAAUGUCUAGAAUGGCUUCCACCGCUUCCACCUCCACGUCACCGCAUCUCUCGUCGAUGAUGUCCUCCAGCCGGUGCUCCCCUGUUAGCGUGUUCAGCUGCACAAAGGCGCAGGUGCACAGUUUUGGGAGUUCAGGUCACCACUUCACCAACAACAACUAUAACCACAGGUAAUAAGUAAAGCAUUUACCCAGCCUACAAUGUUCAGUCCCUUCUUGAUGAAGCAUGCAUCAGUUGGCCUCUUUCCAGUCACCAGCUCCAGCAAAAGCACUCCAAAGCUAUACACGUCCGAUUUCUCAGUAGCAUGCCCGUUCUGCAAGUACUCUGUCACCCAAAGUGUCAAAAUAAGCAUCCAAUUUCACCUUUUUUUAAAAAACAAAAUUUCACUUUCAAUUGGAGCUACACAACAUUACAUUCAAAAAUUUAUGUCUACAAUUACAAUUUUUACCAUUAAAAGAGUAAUGCAGAAAAUUUCUACAGCUCAGUGAAUGAUCAACCUUUUUUUACAAUUCUUGUUUAACUUCUUUUUGGUCUUGUUCGUGUUUCUCUACAACAUGCACUUUCAGUCUUUCAUUUCAGUACAACUAAUAGCAUUCAAUGUUCUUUGAAUAAUGCAGAAAUUCUACAGUUCAGUGAAUGAACAUUUGUUUUUACUGUCCUUGUUUAACUUCUUGUUGGUCGGGAUGUUCUACAAGACACACUUUCAGUCUUAUGUUUCAGUAACAGCUAAUAACUUUCAUCUGUCAGCUCUUAACCUCCAAUUAGAACCGUAUGACUAGUUGAAAAUUUUGCACUGUAGAAAUCAAAACAGUAAUGUCCACCUAGUAAAGUAAGAUAAGUACCUGGUGCUAGGUAUCCAAAUGUACCAGCCACGACAGUGGUAACAUGGGCGCCAUUGUCCACAAGCAGUCUCGCAAGGCCAAAAUCAGAGACACGAGGCUCCAAGCUUCUAUCCAGAAGGAUAUUACUUGCUUUGAUGUCCCUAUGCACAAUCCCAGGUGAGCAAUCAUGGUGCAGAUAUGCCAGACCCCGAGCUGAGCCCAGGGCGAUUUUCAUACGUGCAUUCCAGUUCAAUGGCUGGUCCUCUUGUUCAUCUCCUGCCACAGGUAGAACGGCAUGUCAAAGAAGGCAAUGCACUGGUGCCAGUGAAUUGUUACAGUGAUCAUGCCAAGAGAUGCAUGAUGGUGGGCAUUCUUACCAUGAAGGUAGCAAUCCAAGCUGCCCAGCUCCACAAAAUCGUAUAUGAGUAGCUUCGCUGUGGGGAGUCUGCAGUAGCCACGCAGAUUGACAAGAUUUAUGUGCCUGAUGCUGCCCAAAAUCUCGAGCUCCUUCUCAAAGGUCCUGUCACGACUUUCACGGCUGAGAUCAAUCCUCUUCACAGCAAAUGAUGUGCCAUCAUCCAUUACCAUUUUGUACACUGUGCCAAACCCCCCGCUGCCAACCACAUCCUCUUCAUCAAGCAGCUCCAACCUUCUAAUAAUCUCACUUGUUGAGUACGGAAGGUUCCACUGGUAUGUCACAAGCUUUGCACCUAAAUCAUGGGGGAAAAAAGUAAAAUUAGUUUUCGUGUAGUCAGUCUGGAUAAAACUGUACAACUCUGGUUAGUCACCACAAUCAGCAUCUUUCUAUUUUAUUUCUUUCUUCUUUCUAUUAUAUUUCUUUUUGAGGAGAAACACUACGAAAUUGUGUGUCAUUUUCAUUACCAUCAGGAACACUUUGCUUGUCCAUCUUUACAUAGUUCCCGCCAAUGCUCUUCUUCCUGGACAGCAAGCAAAUCCAUAGGAACCCGAGUACAGCAAUCAAGGCAAGGGCCAAGGUUGACAUUGAACCGAUCACAAUGCCAUUCAGAAAGUGCGAUGUUUUGUUGUUGUUGAUAGGAGAAACACCUAUUUGAAACAGAAAUAAUAAAUAUCAACAGCAGUUAGCCCACACAUGCACUAAAAUUGGUAAAAAAAAAGAGUUAAGAACUGUACUCAAAUAGAAUGGGAGACUUGCCAGCUGAAGAGAGAGGAUCGGAAUGUGGCAGCACAGCAGGAAAGCCGAGGGUUCCACGGCAAGCUCUCUGGAUGGGCAAGCCACAAAGCUCCAGAUUUCCAACAAACCUGCAUCACGUGAACAAAUGCACAACAACAUUAAAUACAGGUAUCCAACGUCAUAAUAGGAAGCACGAAUGAAACAAGGGACAAAGGUUGACGGGACCAAAGCUUACGAGCUGCUUUUGAAGGUUCCGAGGACACCCACAUUUGGGAUCUCUCCGGAGAAGAAAUUAGUGGACAGGUUCCUGGAGAUGGUAAAUGUGCAGCCCUCUCAGUUUUACUUUUACAUCUCCAACAACAAGGGCAUGAGGAAUGCUCAUCAGAAAACUUACAGAAAGCGGAGGUGAGUAAGGCUUCCAAUCGACGCAGGAAUUGUGCCCCUCAACAGGUUGCUCGACAGGUCCCUGCAGUUUCAGCACAUUAUUAGAUCAACAGAAGGCCGUAAAAGCACAAUGAAAGAUUGUAGUGUGAAGAGCAUACAAGAUUGUGAGGUGCACGAGCUCGCCAAUCUCUGAAGGGAUACCACCUUGCAGGUAGUUAGCUCUCAGGUAACUGAACAUAAACAGCAAGAAAAAGGUUCAAUCAUUGAUUUGAACAGCCUGACGAGUUAGCAGAACAAAUCGAGGAAACUAAACUAGUAUAGUUGGGAGUAGCUGCAAAAUCAUACUAGUAGUAGCUUACAUACAUUGCCCUCAGUUCUGUGCAGUUCUUGAUCUCUGCAGGGAUUGGGCCGUGCAAGCUGUUCUGGUGCAGAGCUCUGAAAAGGGAAAGGUCCACCCGUCCGUCCGUCCACAGGCAGCAUAAAUACAUGCACAAGCACAAAGAGAAAAGGACAAUUUCAGUUGGUAUUGGUUCUUUCUAUUUACACAUCUUAACACAAAAGGAAAAAAAAAAGAGCGAGAGAGAAGAAAAGCAUUUGGUCCUAGAAAUGGUGAAGAAAAUCUUACAUCCUCUGCAGCUUGUCCAGCCUCCCGAUGCUUGGUGAAAUGAUGCCCCCAAGCUGCAUGUAUGGGAGAUUUCUGCACCCAAAAGAAGACACACAUUAUUUUACUACUAUUCAGAUGCUGUAAAAAGGAGGGAACAAGGAAUCCAAGAAGAGGGCAUCGGUAGCCGAGCCAUCAUCACACAUUUGACAGUUCAUUCAAAUAAUAACCGAGGGAAGAGGGGGGGGGGGGGGGGGGGGGGGGAGAUUAAAAAUGUNNNNNNNNNNNNNNNNNNNNNNNNNNNNNNNNNNNNNNNNNNNNNNNNNNNNNNNNNNNNNNNNNNNNNNNNNNNNNNNNNNNNNNNNNNNNNNNNNNNNGGAGCAGGAGAUGCCCUCCCAGCCGCAGGGAUUGGGGUCGGAGGGCCUCCAGCUGGUGAGGCGCUGUGCUGUGGCGUUGAAGGCCAGCUUGAGCUCGAGCAGGGCCUCGCCUGCAAGCAAGAAUGAAGCAGGUGAGAGCUGGUUCCGGCAAUGUGGUAAAAAUAAUAAAAAAUGGACAUGGAUUGCAUUGCGGGACUGCAGAUCAGUACCGUCCGGGGUGAGACCCAUGGCGGCCGUGGAGCAGAGGAGGAGGAGGGCGGCCAGAAUGGUGAUGGCGGCGGCGCGCAGGCCCGCCGCACCAUGGCGGCCUCUCCCCUUGUUCCUCCUCCUGCUGCCAAUCUUGUCCAUGGUGGUGGUGGAGAGGGGGGAGGAGUGUUCUUGGCUUUUCUCGGAAGGAUGGCCUGUGGCUUCUUUGGGAGGUUUUGAAGCGAGUGGAGUGGGGAGUGGUGUGUCCGUGUGUGGGAGAAGAGUGAGCUGAGGACUGAGCUGGUACAGUGAGCGAGUCUGCAGCCUUGCUAUUACGAGCCUCUUCUGACCGGAAAAUAAAGAAAAGGCUGUCCGGACGUGCUCCCCGUGACUUGGGCCACUGAUUUGCGGGACCCACCCUCCGUGGACCCAGGUGUCAGGGAGUGGGUCCGCAUAGCACGGACCACGACGGACGCAGGCAGGCGUGCGUACGUGGUCGCGGAGACCCGAGAAGCUAUUGUUGGAUUUUAAAUUAAAAUCCUUGACUAAUCCACUAGCCGUACUAGCACGUAAUCUUGGCAUAAGGUUACUCUUUAAGAAAGGUGUCAUCCAGAAUUUCACGAUACGUGACAAGAUCAUUAAGGAAAAAUAGUUUCAACAUAUGUGAGAGAAGAAAACUUGAUAAACUGUUCAUAAAAUUGUGCAUUGAGAGUUGAGACUGACCUAAGCUCAACUUUUAUGCUACAACGACAUAUUGCUUUACUUCUCCUACCACUCACUGUAGGCAGUAGCAUGUACUCCUGGAAUUUAGUAGUAGUAUAUUUGUAGUAGGAAAAAACCCAUUUUUAACCAUCUAACUAUUUUUGACUAUUUUUGACCAUCGAACCGCAAAAUCAGAAAUCAUUGACCACUCAACUAUCAAAACCGUUCAUAUUUGACCAUCGAGCUGUUUUAUUGGAUGGUUUUGGUGAUGGGAGGCCAUGUGGCGACGGACCCAGCUGCCAACACCUCUCUCUCCUCUCCAUCUCUUUCUUCUAUCCUCUCCCUCUACUCCCACCCGCGCCAACCGCCGCCCUCCCCCACGCCUCCCCUACGCCAGCCGCCGUCGGAGCCCCUCGCUGCAAGCUGCCCGACCCUGCCCAAUGCCCAGAGCUCACGCCGUCGCCCUGGAGCAUAUUGGGAGGAGGGCAUCGUCGCGGUGCAGGGCGUGAGCAGUAGCGGCCCAGGUCAAGCUCAUCCUCGCGGCGCUUGUACCGAAGCCAUGCGUCGAGCACGACGCGCCGGUGCAGGGUCGUCCGUGUGGACGCGCGCGGCCUGCAGUGCCCGCCGGAGCAGUCGCGCGCCGCGAACCGACUGGAACAGCGCGUGCUGCAGCAGGUGCGGGGCUCCUCCGCCCUUCUUGGACUUGUGCUUGGAUGCCGGCGGGUGUGGCGAGAGCGGCGUGGAGGGGUCUUUGGCGGAGAACGCGGAGGCGGGGGUGGGAUCCGGGAGGGAGCUGAGGCGCUUGGAGGCGGCGCACACUUGGGCGAGCUCGGCGAAGCUCCCGACGGGUGGUCGGCAUGGAGGGCAGCGAGAAGGUGACGGUGGGGAGGAGCGGAGGCCAUUCUGGGCGGGUCAACGACUGCGGCGGAUCGGAGGGCUUCGUGCUGGUGAGGGCAGCGUUGGCAGUUGCAGGGCAAGUCGCCCGCCGCCGGCCUUGCCACGCCGCUCCUCCUUGAUGAGGAGGACGACGACGGUGGCGUCCCAUCCCGACCCUGCCAUCCCACUCCAAGGGGGUGUUUGGGACGAGGGGACUAAAUUUUAGUUCCCGUCACAUCGAAGGUUUGGACACUAAUUAGGAGUAUUAAACUAGAUUAAUUACAAAAAUAAUUACACAACCUCUAGACUAAGUCGCGAGAGGAAUCUAUUAAGCCUAAUUAGUCCAUGAUUUGACAAUGUGGUGCUACAGUAACCAUUCGCUAAUGAUGGAUUAAUUAGGCUUAAUAGGUUCGUCUCACGAUUUAACCUAGGGGUUCUGCAAUUAGUUUUGUAAUUAGCUUAUGUUUAGUCCUCCUAGUAUCCGAACAUCCGAUAUGACAAGGCUAAAGUUUAGCCCCUUGUAUCCAAACGCCCCCCAAGACAGAGGUGUGAGGGGGAAGAGCCUGACUUGACAUGUGGGUCCCAUCUGACUCAGCCCAGUGACAUGGCGUCCUAAUCCAAUGUGGGUCCCAUCUGACUCAGCCCAGUGACAUGGCGUCCUAAUCCAAUGUGGCAGUCAAAAUUACAUCGAUCCAGUCAAAAUAGGGCUCAAUGGCUAUUUGUAGAGGGUGUUUAGGAGGAGGGGGCUAAAUUUUAGCCUUCAUCACAUCGAAUGUUUGGACACUAAUUAGGAGUAUUAAACCUAGACUAAUUACAAAACUAAUUACACAACCUCUAGGCUAAAUCGCGAGACGAAUCUAUUAAGCCUAAUUAGUCUAUAAUUUGAUAAUGUGGUGCUACAGUAACCAUUCACUAAUGAUGGAUUAAUUAGGUUUAAUAGAUUCGUCUCGCGAUUUAGCCUAGGGGUUCUGCAAUUAGUUUUGUAAUUAGCUUAUGUUUAGUCCUCAUAAUUAGUAUCCGAACAUCUGAUGUGACAGGGCUAAAGUUUAGCCCCUGGUAUCCAAACGCUCCCGUACACGGUUUAUAGAGGUAAGUGCCAUUUGUACACGGUUUAUAGAGGUAAGUGCUCAUAGAUUUCUAGUUUUCGAGUUUGAUGGUUGAAACCAAACCGAUAGUCAAAAAUGGACUUUUUUUCCUUUGUAGUAUAUGAUAAAUUAUCAUGGUAAAAGUCUUUUGCCAUUCAUACAGUAGGUGUUUGUCUCUACACAUUAUUGUAGGCAGGACUGAUAUCAGGUGAAGCCGUGAAGGAUACCAGGCCAGAAAAACAGGAAUGGCAAGAACAAAUUCCGAAUGAAAACAAAUGUAAAAAACAGCCAGUAUUCGAAUGCAUGCGGCAGUUACAAAUACGUGCCAAAUCAAAUUUAAAGACAGUAUAGUGGCCACAGAGGGAAGGAAACCACAAAACACUCCGAUGCUAUGAUUCGGUUGUGCGUUUGAAUGUGUGCUUGGCAAGUUGGCAACACAACACACACCGUCUUGAAUGUGCUUCAUGAGAUGAGACUCUUGGGAUUGUCAUGUAUGUCGGGACCUGACCUGACCUGACCACUAUCUGCUGCUGCAUGAUGCUUCGUACGGAACGGAUGCCUCCAACCACAAACUAGCCGUUACGUUGAUGCAUGCUGCCAUCGGAAUAUCGAGUCCGACUAGUUUCAAAACGAAAACUCCGAAUUUUUUAACAGAAAGCUAAGGUCCUCGGAACAAAGGAUCUCAAAACGUAGGAAUAGAAAAAAAUAUAGAAAUAGAGUUGCAUGAUAUUUGCAAUCUUACAGGAAUUGAGAAUGCAGGAAAGUUUAUAAUUGUGUGUUUGGAUGCAACGUAGGAAAAACAAAGAAAUGAGAAGAGAGAUAGACACAAAGAAAAGUUUCCAAGUGGUUAGACUUCAUGUUAGAUUUCCUCCAAAAUUCAUAUGGAUUGAGCCAUUCCAUAGAAAUUUUGAAGGAUUAAAAGGUUGGCCAAUUCUUUGUUCAAAUCCUACACGAAUCCUAUGGAACAAAUGGCCACAUAGGAAAAAUUCCUAUAGAAUUCAAAUCCUACAACAUUUCUACAUGAAUCCUAUGUUCCAAAGGGAGCCUAAGAGGUGUCGGGCAUCAUGCGAGAGAUCGGGCUCGGAUGAGAGGUUCGGAGGAGGAAGGAAGGGAGGAGUAAGAAAAUCCUUGAACUCAAAUACUAGACAACAUGCAUCGGACAUCUCUUAAAACCAGACAAAUUAACCCCUUUUACCUAGUCAAAGCAGUUUAGGUGAUUUCGCUGACGUUCCAAUGGGUCUCGCAUGUUAUAAUUGACCUCAGCAGCCAUGUGGCACCCAACUCGUCCAUGUCAGCCCACUGCCACCUAAGCUUCCUCUUUCUAUCUUCUUUCUCCAUCCAAGCCGUCAGCCCAUUGCCACCUAACCUUUCUCUUUCUAUCUUCUCUCUCCAUCCAUGCCGUGCGGGCCCCUCUAUCAUCUUCUACCUCCAGCACACCAAUUUGUUCGCCAUUCCUUGUGGCACGAGCUCUCAAAUACAUGACCUUCCAAGUUCCAAGCACUCCACCGUGCACCUUGUAGAGAACAUGACCCCAUUGGUUCGUAGUUUGUGAUUUUGGCGAUUGAGUGACAACAUAGUUAUCGGGACUAAUUGUUUGUCAAGUAUAUGCCUUGUAGGUUUUCUAGGUCCCAAGUAUGCAAACCAAACCAUAGGCAAGGUCCAAAUCAUGGUAUUCAAGUAUGCAAACCAAACCAUGGCAAUGUCUAAAUCAUGGUAUUAAAGUAUUCAAGCUAGGGUAUUCAAGUGACCAAGCCAUGGCCCAUCGGAGUAAGCAUCGGAGCAAUUGGUCCAACAGGGAAAUCAACUUGAGUUCCAGGAAGCACCGGAUGAUUCGACGGUGGAAAUUUUAGUAGCGUUGGAGCAAUUCUCAGGAAAGGUAGAAAUUGACUUAUAGCAUCGGAUGUUCCGAUGCCCUAUGGAGGUGACCCUCGAACAAAGUAUAUUUACUUUGAGAAGUUCCAGUGAGAUUUUGGCCAGAAAACCAUCAGCACCAGAUGAUGCGAUGGGGCUGUCGGAUGAAUUCUUGAAGAAGUUGGGCUCAGGGGAGCCAACGGCUAGUUGCAUCGGAUGUUCCAAUGCUACCCAAAAAUAGGCCAUCGGAACAUCUGAUAGUAUACUUUAACUAGCCGUUGGAGCCGUGAGCAACGGCUCUUUAAGCUCUUGAGCUAUUUAUACCCCCUCCACUUGGCCAUUUGGAGUUGUUGGAUGAAGUUGAAGUGUGCAGGAGUCCAUUGAAGAGCAAGACACAUCAAAUACAUAUCCAAACCACCAAAAGUGCUUAAGUGAUCCAUCAAAGACUUAGCACAAGCUUAGUAAAAAUGAUUAGUGCUAGUAUAGACCUAGAGAAGAGAGAGUGCAAAAUGUGCCUAUCUUGUGAUCAGGUUCUAGAGUGAACCAAUUUUGUACAAGGUGUGCCGGCGUCUUGAAGGCUUAGUGGCUCACCGGUAAGUCAUGAGCGAAUGACUUUAUGUGUUUAUCGAGUGCUGUUUGUUUGUGCGAAGAAGGCAAUGACUGCACUUUGCUAAUUUUACAGUAUUGCAAAGCGCAUACAAGUAUGUAUUCGUGUGCACUAUUAUGCCACCAGCUUGAAAUAAUUCACUGCCUGCUUCCUGAAACUUGCUGGGUAUUUGUAGAAUCUUCCUUAGGGGUGUUUGGAUACACCUCCUAAAGUUUAGUACCCAUCACAUCGGAUGUUUGGAUACUAAUUAGGAGUAUUAAACAUAUACUAUUUACAAAACCCAUUGCAUAGAUGGAGUCUAAUUCGCGAGAUGAAUCUAUUAAGCCUAAUUAGUCCAUGAUUUGACAAUAUUCUGCUACAAUAAACAUAUGCUAAUCAUGGAUUAAUUAGGCUCAAUAGAUUCGUCUCGCGAAUUAGUAUAGGGUUCUGCAAUUAGUUUUAUAAUUAGCUCAUGUUUAGUCCUUUUAAUUAGCAUCCGAACAUCCGAUGUGACACUCCUAAAGUUUAGCACCUCGUAUCCAAACACCCCCCUAACCUCGAAGAGUCAUCUUCUGUGCACAAAGCAUCGCAAUUGCGAUAAUCAUUUCAAACUACUAAGUUAUUGUUUGAUUGUGGCUGGGUGUCAAACUGACUAUCUUUUUGCAUGUUGAUAGCAUGAAAUCAGUAACAAUUUAAUUGGCUACACCAUGAAGUUAUUGGUCCUUGGGCAUGUAUGAAUAAUUGAUCAGUAGCAACUAGUCAAAAUGCUGAUUGGUCACCGAAGAAGUAAUGCGCUAAAAGGAAGGCACAUUUGAAAUUUUGGCAUGGUCUUCAACUUCCAAUCAUGUUAAGGGAAAGUAAAGCAAGUUAAAAAUAUCAGUAUUAUCUGAAAAAGUAAAAUAUCAAUUCAAUAGAAUAGUCACUUAAGGGAAAAUUUUGUUUUGAAUAUAUGAAAUGGACAUAAUAGAAGAGAAUGGUCACAGAAAUGGCAUAAUAUCUCUCCAGGAUCAGUUAUAAAUAUCAUAGUUGCAGUUGGUAUGCAAAAUGCAGAACUCUCUUCCAAUCACAGGGAGAUAACUGCCAUGAUGUAGCUGUAUUAAUGGGAGAAAGUAUUAAUAUCCCAGCCUCCACAUCCAUUUGAUGCAAAAAUAAAAUAGUAAUAUAUCUCUCAUGAUUAUCAAAUAUAAAUAAAUGUCUGGUACAGAAUUUAUACUGCCUUUAACAACGUGCAUCAGAGCCUGUAUGGUAACUCAGACCUUGAUCAACGAUCAACACAGAAGGAAAAUAGCAUUUCCAUAUUAUGGUUUGGAUGCUGACAGUAAAUGAGGCAAACAUGUCCCAACAAUAGACAGGAUAUGGAAUCAACACUAGAUUAAUUGAAAUGAUUCUAAUGAAAACCCAAACUUUUUAUGCUACUAACCUGGUACUUCAUGUUUUGACAGCUCACUGAUUUCUACAAAUGAAUGGCAUAUUUCCAUGUCUUUGGUUUCAAUAACUUGGCACCUGGUAAUCGUUGAUGUUAGGAUUUAUCAAUAGAAAUCUAGAGUAUAACAUGAAAAAAAGUGUACGUCAAGCAGAUUCGAGUAUGCAUAUUAAAAUAUACAACUACCGAAUUGCAAAGAGAAAAACUCCAGUUUUUUCUGAAACAAAAAACAGAAAUAGUACAUUUUUGUGCAUCCAAAGGCGUGAAGUUAGCAAAAAACAUUAAAAGAAAGGUACCAGACAGUAGGCUCCUGGGACCUUUUAUUAUUCCACAUUUUGUCCUUUAGACAGCAAAAUUCAAUUAAAUUGACAAGUAAAAACCUUCGUUGCAUUGGCAACUUGGCAUCUCUAUUUGGGGUGUAACAUUAGGGAAAUAGAAAAAUAUCAGUUCAAUGCAAAUUGAAAACAAUCUAUAGUCGUGUUCUUAAUUGUCCAAGUGGGGAAGGAUCCCUUGGAUUUUUUAAAUUUCGUAUUGUGCAAGUGCUGAAACCAGCAACCCAUCAUGACAACUGCAUGAAAAAGUAACUUUGUGGGACACUCUUCAUGCUUUUUUAGUGAUUGCUGAGUUCUUUCCACUAUUCCUUGUCAACAAUUUCUGGGCACAGUUCACACCUAGGUAUAGUCUAUUAGACGCAAAUACUAGUAGCAGUUCACAGAAUAAAGAUGAACUGAAGACAGAAGUGGAGGACCAAAGAUACUCUAUUUUGCCUUACAUAUCAUUCUCGUUAAGCAGCUUCUUUAGUAGUCAUAUCUAUUUAGAAAUUCGAAAUGGAUAAUUAAGUAAUACAACUUGACAUGAUUAUACCAAGGCACCAAAAUUCUGUGGUCGUGUGCUGCACCUUUCUCUAAUGUAAAAAUAAUCACACCACGUCAUUCAAACUACUGCAGGGAUGCUUUAAGGCCACUGGUAUAUAUAUUUCUAGAAUGCGGGGUCUCAGGUUGAAGAGGAUAUAAUACACAUGAGCAGAUUUAUGCAUUUGAUGGUGAAACGACAAAUGAGUUUGGUGGGUACCUUCUUUAGGUUGAAAUGUGAAGAUCACGGAGAGAAGCGGCUGAAAUACACAUGAGCAGAUUUAUGCAUUCGUAACGAGCAUCCAAAUCUUUACGAAUGAGGGGCCUGUUCGCUUCAGCUGGCUUAUCAGCUACCAAACAGUGUUUUCCUCUCACAACAAAUCAGCCGUUUCAGCUUUUCAGCCGGCUUAUAAGGCCCUGUUUGGUAACACACCCCUAAACUUUAGUACCUGUCACAUCGGAUGUUUGGAUACUAAUUAGAAGUAUUAAAUAUAGUCUAAUUAUAAAACUAAUUGCACAGAUAGAGUCUAAUUCGCGAGACGAAUCUAUUAAGCCUAAUUAGUCCAUGAUUUGACAAUGUGGUGCUACAGUAACCAUUUGCUAAUGAUGGAUUAAUUAGGCUUAAUAGAUUCAUCUCGUGAAUUAGUAUAGGGGUUCUGCAGUUAGUUUUAUAAUUAGCUCAUGUUUAGUCCUCCUAAUUAGCAUUCGAACAUCCGAUGUGACCCUCCUAAAGUUUAGUACCUCGUAUCCAAACACCCCUUGAGCUGAAGCGAACAUGUCCGAGGUUGUCCAGUCUCUUCUUCAGGGAUGAAGGAAGCGGCUGUAUAGCUGGACAUGAUGUAAUUUGAAGAUCAUGGAGAGAUGAGUAUGCUUGUGGCCCAUCGGGCAAGGAUGCCAGGCUUUUGCAUUCACAAAGACUGAGGCGUUCCAGGGUUGAAAACUCUCCCAAGCAAGAUUCCAGUGAUCUCAACUCUGGGCAUACCGAAAUUAGUAGGCGUUGGAGUCCAUCCAGCUGGCCUGAUAGGAGUUGGAGUUUGCCACACUCCCAAAUUACUAUUUCCCUGAGGGAUGGGGGAAGGUUGAGAACCUCUGACAAGCUUUCGCACCGCUCUAUAUAUAGAUAUUCAAGACAUGGAAGUAGUAAGUGAUCCCGGGCAGCGCUGGGCCCUUGAUUUAAUGUUGGCUCGUCCUGUUGCUCUCCGAAUAUGGACUUAAGCUUAGGACAGCCGCGCAAAUCCAUCGUCUUGAGAGAUGCGGGGACGUUGAAGACCUCUACCAGACUUUCACAAUCCUCUAUGUGUAGAGACUCGAGACGGGGCAGAACUUGGCUCCUUUCUGAUAUUGGUUGGCCAGGAGCAGCUUUCGCGUACCCAAUCAGACCACGGCACUUCUUAAUGGAAAGGUGCCUCAAGGAUACCAAGCUAUGGAACUCUUUUUCCGGCCAGUAGACAAGCGCAUGGUUGAUCUUCUUAAUUUUCAAACGUUGGAGCUGGACAAAACAUGUCCAUAGUGCCAGUGGACUUGAGGGGAACAGAAAGUUGCAGCCACUUAGCUUCAGACUUGUCAGAGGGUAUUUAUUACUGGCGUCCAGCAGCUCAAAGGCACUAUGCCCAGUUGGUAAAGUAGUUUCUGUGAAUUCGACUGAUAACACCAGUUCGGACAAUGAGUUAAUAAAUGUAGGCACUAUUAUUGCUGCCAGUUGGCUGCCAUGUAUUUGUAAUACACCGAGCUUUGGUGCUUCUAUCACCCCCGGUAGAGUUGUCAACUUGGGACAUUUCUUUACAGACAGGGUCUCAAGGUCAGGGAAUCUCUGCUCUUCCAUCAUCCCCAAGCUCUUAAAACUAUCUAAGUCUUCUAACAAGAGCUUCUUUAAGUUUGGAAAUGCUGACCAUGCUGUAACAUCACUAUGGUCAAAUGAUUCUCCCUGAGAUGUAGCUGAUGGUAAUGCUGCCAGUUCGGGGCACUUUUCGAUUGAUAACUCUUCAAGAUAUGGAAAUAUUAUCUGCUGCCCUUGAGUUGCUUCAGCAGCGCCCCCCCACCUCUGAAACUUUGCUAAGCAUUCUAAUUCGAGUACCUUCAGGACUGGAAAUGCCGACCAAAGCUUCCUCUCGUCUUGCUCCUUGUAAUCUCCACAGCACGAUCCUCCGAGAAGUGCUGGCCCUGGUAAUGCUGUAACCUUUCCACAAUUGCUAAUAAACAACCUCUCAAGUUGAGGAAACAUUAUCUGUUCUCCUUGGACCCAGUCAAAUUCCGGCAGUUUGUCCAGCGUAAGCUUCUUCAGAUUAGGAAAGUGAAAGAAUGUACCACCACUGCACAAGCUUUCCAGUUUUUUCAAUCUUUCCAGACGAAGAACUUGUAGAGCUGGUACACUCCCAAGUGGAGGAAGCUUAUGGGACUUGUUACAGUUAGAAAGAUGAAGCUCCACCAUUUUUGUCAGCGUACCCAUCCACGUUGGGAAACUGGUUCCUUGGUAAUGCUCUAUCCUCAGAGCCUCUAGUCCAGGAGGAGCUUCGAGACCCUCCAGCACCUUAUGACAAUGUAGUUUCUCCUCCUGACUACCUGUCCACGUCCAGUUUAAUGACAAUUCCCUGAGCUCCUUUUUAUUUCCAAGAUUGGCCUGUUUUGCAUCUGCUGCAUUUGUCACAUUUUCGAGUUGACUAAGCAGUAGUGGACCACCAAGGUUGUUUAAAUGCUGCAGCUCUGCAAUACUACUGCAAUCAGGGCCUGCACCCACUACAAAAUUUGUAAGUGUUUGCAGGGAAGUGAGAUGUCCAACCUCUGGCGGCAUGCGCUUCAACUCCCAACAUUCGUGAGUGUAGAGGUGACGGAGGGCAGUCAUGUACUUUAUUCCCUUUGGAAGCCGGCCAAGUUUGUGACAGUGCGCCACAUUCAACGUUUGCAGAUUGUACAAAAUGCUGAUAUCUUCCGGAAGUGCCACUAUAUGACUCCACGAGAUAUCAAGAUACCUCAAGAGAUGUAGCUGCUUUGGUUUCAGUAGGAUUGUGCUAUUAUUCUGACAAAGUUGCAAUGCACGCAGAGAGCUGUAUUUUGCGAGAUGCUGCAGGGAACUUUCUAUGCGCUGACCACAUAGUAGUGUUUGCAUAGCUGGAGACCUUAUAUUCAGAGAAUCAUUCAAAACGGCCUCUGGCUUGCCACAUGAUAACAAUAUAUGACGACAAGUGUUCUGAAGAAACUCAUCACUCUGCUUUGGCUUCUCAGUUAUGGUAGCAACUUCUUUGCCCAUGACAGAUAGUGCCACAUCGUGCAUAAGAUCAUGGAUUUUACAUGUACUUGUAGACAAAUACCAAUACACAUCUUCCCAUGCUUUCCCAUUGACUUGCUUCACAUCUUGAAAGAAUGACCUUGAGACCAGCUCACUGAAAAUCUGUUUACCAAUUGUUUCAUGACGAACAUCUUUUUGUUCAGGAAUAAAGUCAUUUGCCAUCCAUAGUUGGAUCAGCAUUUCCACGUUAAUCUCAUGGUCCUUGGGAAACACAGCACAGAAAGCAAAGCACUGCUUCAUGUGUGAUGGCAGGUCAUCGUAACUGAGCUUGAGAAUAGGCAGGAUUUGAUCAUCCUUGUUAUGGGCGAUGCUUUUGCUAAGCACAGCCUUCCAUUCUUCCGUUAUCUUGCCACGUAGUACAGAUCCUAGUGCCUUCGCUGCCAAUGGAGACCCUGCACAUCUCUCAACAACGUCAUCAACCAAGCCAGCUAAAUCAGUUGGUUUUCUCUCUUGCGAAAUGAAUGCUUUAGCCUCAAUAAUUUCCUUGAUGAAUUUAUUGUCCAAAUGUGCAAUGUCAUGUCCUUUAACUGUACCCAUGAGUUGAGCUAUUUUUUUAUCACGGGUUGUCGUUAGUAUGGCGCUACCAACAUCACCAUGUUUAAGACAGACAUUCAGCUUGUUCCACUUGUUAUCAUCCUUAUUCCAGACGUCGUCCAAUACAAGAAGGUACCUGUUACAAAUAAUCAUGCCAUUAGUGCGUUUCUAUUUGAGCACGUCUUUUUCUUAAGUUAUGUGAGAUGUGCAAGUGCCGUGCAUAUCCAGAGGGCAACUUGCCAGUGGUGAGGUAUUGUUGUCUUCUUGAUUUCAAUGCUGGUUGCUGGGACCUCAAAACAAGAGGCGUGGUUAGCUUUUGCAGCUCCUUAGCGUGAGUCGAGGGAGCAGAAAAAGAUGAAAUGUUUUUUUUACUGCUGACCUUUUGAAGAUCUAUUCACCUAAAAUUUUCGAUCAAAUGAUUCUAAAAUUUUCUAUUCACAUGUGAAUGUUCAAGAUCGGAUGUUUUGCCUUAAUUAAAAAAAAUGUUGGAUGUUGCCUUCUAUGUGUACGACUUGACAUGAUGUGUGCGUGUACAUUUUUCAUAGUUUCUUCAAGUGUAUGAAGUUCACUAGCACUAGCAAUUAAAAGUCUAUGUGGAUCUAAGUUUGAAGUUGAAUUUUGUGUAUGUAGUUUGCAUGUGCUUUACUUGUCCUUUUUAAUUAUGUGUUAUUCUCAAGGGCAAUGCACAUAUUUUGAGCGUGUGUGAGGGGAAAAAAACCCGUGUGCGUGUUUGAGAUGAGUGAAUCAACAUCAAUUUAAUAAAUUCUAAAAGUACCUCUUUCCAGCAAGUUUUCUUUGAAGGUUCUGCAAGGCACUCUCCAGGUUGCUCUCAGAAGCGUUGCAGAUCUUAUUGGCAAGGUUACAAACAUCGAAAUCAUCAUCUGACACGCAGACCCACUUCAUUAGUUGGUGGAAAUGCUUCUUCACUUGAGGGUCAUUAUAGAUGAGCUGAGCUAGGGUGGUCUUGCCCAACCCACCCAUUCCAACAAUGGGAACGACCAUCGGAUCCUUAUUGUUAGCUUGUUCUUUGACCAACAUUCUAACAAUCUUUUGCUUCUCUUCAUCUCUGGAUCUGCUGACAAUCUCUGGGUCAACCAUGGUGGAGUCAUUCUCACGCAGAUAAUUUAUCUGAACCUGCGCUUGUGGCUGUUUGUCGAACCCAAAGUUGCGCAUAUGCUCGACAAGGGCCUCAGUAUCGCGCACAAUCUUGCGAAGCUUGUUGCCCAUCUUGUAACGGAACAUGAUGCGGUUGCCCAUCCCGAGCUCGAUGUAGCGCCCCUCUUUCUUGGCUUGACGACGGAGGGCCUCAUAGUUGAAUUCAUCGAAGACUUGGAUGGCCUCGUAUGCCGCCACCUUAAGCUUCUCAAGCCAGGGUCUGAUUGCUUCUCUGGAGGUUGCCUGCUUCUCUGCGUCAGUGAUCUUUUCCAGGAUGGCCGGCAGCAUGACCUUGAGCUUCUCAUGCUGCUCCUCCAUGCCCUCCAUCACCUUGUACUGGUCUAGGAGGUAGCUGGACGCCUUCUCCUUCACCAGGGACAGAAGUGGCCCGACCACCAUGCUGCCCACAAGCUCGGCCAUUGGAGCAGUCAGAGCUCACGAGAACGCACGCUGAGAAAUGAGAACACACUUUGGAGUGGAGAAGAGGAUGGUUUGCGGAAGCGCUUUGGAGGUAAAUGGAGACCAACGCCAAGCACUGACCUUCUUGGGCGCCUAGGCUGACAGAGCAGCAGUAGCAGAGGCGGGGCAGUAGCGGUCGCAGCGGAGGGGCCGGCGGCGUACGGGAAGAGAAGAUAGAGAAGAGGAUAUGUUUCUGCAAGACUUGCAAUGGCAGAAGGAGAAGACUAGCAUGGAAGACUUGUGCUCAGCUCACAACAGGAGCCAUAAAAUAAGCAAAGGAUCAGAAGAUGAUAGACAAGUCCAAGCUAUUUUUAUAAGCUGAUGAUGACAGGUGUGGAUGCUGUUGGCUGUGCUUGUGAAGCUGCAGUGUUUCUGUUCACAUCUUAAGGUAAUACUCCUACUUAAUAGUCACAUCCUGGUUUAGUUAUGCUAAUGAUGGAUUGAUCACUGAACAAACGUGUUUACCGGUGCACAGUGUUCAGGUAGCCAUGUGUGUUCAAAGACCAUAUAAGGUCAUGUUUAGUUUUCCUCAAAAUCCCAAAUUUGACACUAUGCAAAGAAGAUUCCUCAUCACAUUAAACUUGCGAUACAUGCAUGGAGUACUAAAUGUAGAUGAAAUCAAAAACUAAUUGCACAGUUUUGUUGUACUUUGCGAGACGAAUCUUUUGAGCCUAAUUAGUCAAUAUUUGGACAAUAAUUCACAAAUACAAACGAAAUGCUACAGUUGCGCAUUUAUGACAAACUCCCAACUUUGACACUCCCAAAUUUGGAACUAAACAAGGCCUAAAUGUUCUGCAUUCUGGAGCAGCCUUUUGCAUUUCCUCGGGUUGCGCUCACAGGGAAAAAGCGAUACCAUUUAUCUAUUGGUCGAGUCACAGUCUUCCAUUUCUUCCACCCAACUUUGGCACUAUGCAAAAAGAAAAUUCUCCAUCACAUCAAAUUUGCGGUACAUGCAUGGAGUACUAAAUGUAGACGAAAUUAAAAACUAAUUGCACAGUUUUGUUGUACUUUGCGAGACGAAUCUUUUGAGCCUAAUUAGUCAAUAUUUAGACAAUAAUUCACAAAUACAAACGAAACACUACAGUGUCGCAUUUAUGGCAGAAUGCUAAUUUUGCCACUCCCAAAUUAGCAAGUAAACAAGGCCCGAUGACUUGGACAAUAAUGAUGUGUACGGUGUACCUACCACUUUUAUUUCGUCGACAAGGUCUCUUGAAUUUAUUUUAUAAAAUUAUUAAUGUGUUAAAAUUUAACUAGUGCCUCACCUUUUCAAAAUGGCACGAUUUGCUCGGUUCCACGAGCUAAAAUUUAGAUAUCCAAUGUUUAGAUACUAAUUAGGAGUAUUAAACAUUUAGACUAAUUACAGAACCAAUUGCAGUUAAUUCACGAGACGAAUCUAUUAAACCUAAUUAAUUCAUGAUUCACGAGACGAAUCUAUUAAACCUAAUUAAUUCAUGAUUACCAGGUUGCUAAUCCGAAGCAUGACAGUAAGAUCAUUGAUAUAUCCGAACCUGAGAACGCACGCUGAGAAAUGAGAACACAGGGAAACACUUUGGAGUGGAGAAGAGGAGUCUGCGGAAGCGCUUUGGAGACCAACGCCAAGCACUGACCUUCUUGGGGCGCUUAAUUUAUUGGUUGUAUCGAAAGCCGUGAUGAUAUUAUUUUGUAUUACGGCUUUCCAGGUGAACUAUUAUAUACAAGUCGCCUUAAAGCAUCAUUACGGCUUUAGAUAGUAAUAUCAAUAAUAUCAUCACGGCUUUCCAUGUGCCAUCACGAGGGUACAGCCUGGUUCACGCCCG
This 34439-nucleotide long non-coding RNA is filed under the name Setaria italica (foxtail millet). Its description in RNAcentral is "long non-coding RNA (SITA_LNC002660)". The record is from RNAcentral. Lineage: Eukaryota; Viridiplantae; Streptophyta; Magnoliopsida; Poales; Poaceae.